Molecule: ribosomal RNA, 501 nt
Filed under: uncultured delta proteobacterium
Lineage: Bacteria; Deltaproteobacteria
Description: bacterial SSU rRNA
Rfam family: Bacterial small subunit ribosomal RNA
Source: RNAcentral
GAGUUUGAUCUUGGCUCAGGACGAACGCUGGCGGCGUGCUUAACACAUGCAAGUCGUACGAGAAAGUUCCCUUCGGGGAUGAGUACAGUGGCGCACGGGUGAGUAACGCGUAAGUAAUCUGCCCCUUGGUCUGGCAUAACUCCGGGAAACCGGGGCUAAUAGCAGAUGAUAUCGUAAGAUCAAAGCCUUCGGGCGCCAAGGGAUGAGCUUGCGUCCCAUUAGCUAGUUGGCGGGGUAACAGCCCACCAAGGCGACGAUGGGUAGCUGGUCUGAGAGGAUGAUCAGCCACAUUGGGACUGAGAUACGGCCCAGACUCCUACGGGAGGCAGCAGUGAGGAAUAUUGCGCAAUGGACGAAAGUCUGACGCAGCAACGCCGCGUGCGGGAUGACGGCCCUCUCGGGUUGUAAACUGCUGUAGCAGGGGAAUAAUACCCGCCUCGGGCGGGUUGAAGGUACCCUGAAGUAAGCUCCGGCUAACUACGUGCCAGCAGCCGCCGUAAG